RNAcentral lists this unclassified non-coding RNA (273 nucleotides) under Hevea brasiliensis (rubber tree). The record is from RNAcentral. Lineage: Eukaryota; Viridiplantae; Streptophyta; Magnoliopsida; Malpighiales; Euphorbiaceae.
GAACUGUUUAGCGAAGAAUUAAGUAUCCCCGACAUUGCAAAAAUGUCAAAAGGUUAUGUGAAAAAUCAUUCCUCGCCGACGGGUAGCUGUCCUUGUCUUGAGUCAAGGAAUAAAAAUAGAUCAAAAAGCUUAUCCCAAUAAAUAUUCAAUCUACAGCCUGAGANNNNNNNNNNNNNAAGCAGAUCAGCGAUGUAUAUAGAGAUCUUUUUGGGUUGUGAGUCAAAAGAAGCGAGUUCGAGUUUGCCCUAAAUUGAAUUUGAAAGAAGGGUAUGA